AGCAGUCGCCGCGGUAAUACGUAGGUGGCAAGCGUUGUCCGGAAUUAUUGGGCGUAAAGGGCUCGCAGGCGGCUUCUUAAGUCUGAUGUGAAAGCCCCCGGCUCGACCGGGGAGGGUCAUUGGAAACUGGGAAACUUGAGUGCAGAAGAGGAGAGUGGAAUUCCACGUGUAGCGGUGAAAUGCGUAGAGAUGUGGAGGAACACCAGUGGCGAAGGCGACUCUCUGGUCUGUAACUGACGCUGAGGAGCGAAAGCGUGGGGAGCGAACAGGAUUAGAUACCCGCGUAGUCCCUGUCUCUUAUAA
RNAcentral lists this ribosomal RNA (303 nucleotides) under uncultured bacterium. RNAcentral describes it as "partial 16S ribosomal RNA". It matches the Rfam family "Bacterial small subunit ribosomal RNA", at positions 507 to 809 of the family's 1533-position model. The record is from RNAcentral.